Rhinolophus ferrumequinum (greater horseshoe bat) is the source of this 534-nucleotide long non-coding RNA. RefSeq lists it as uncharacterized. The record is from RefSeq and is a predicted model, not a curated record. Lineage: Eukaryota; Metazoa; Chordata; Mammalia; Chiroptera; Rhinolophidae. The transcript has 4 exons.
CUUUUGACUUCUGGAAAAAAACCAGAAAUUCUGACAGCCCCACACUUCCACAACAUCUUGCAUGGGAGCUGUUUCCAUCAUCUUGAAACUAUGAAGAAAGGGACAAGGGAAUCCUGGAGAUGCUGACAUUAUCAUCCCAGGGAAGCUACCGCAGCAUCUUGACUUUUCGAGGCCAAGGAUAUUCCCGUGAUGUAGUCCGGCAAUGGAUCUCUGGCCACAGUUCUCUGAAGUUCUAUCAUUUCAAGACAAACCACUAAUUGCUGAGGAAUUCACUGGGAACUAAAAAGGAACUUUCUUUCAUAGCUUGGCCACAGAGACCAGAGCAGGAGGCUUCAGAUGUACCAACCUCAUGAUGAACCUAUAGGCUCACGUGCGUGCACACACCCAGUCCAGGAUUGCAGUUCCUCCACCCUGAAUUCCUCAAGGUAACAGACUUUGCACGUCCCACCUCCAUCACUGAGUCUGGCACAGAGCAAGGGGUCACCAAAUGUGGAUCAUGGAAUGAAAGAACAUCCUGCCAAAGCACGUAGAAUA